GGAGGUUUGGCAGAGUGGUCGAAUGCGGCGGUCUUGAAAACCGUUGAGGGUGAGAGCCCUCCGUGGGUUCGAAUCCCACAGCCUCCG
RNAcentral lists this transfer RNA (87 nucleotides) under Antarctobacter aquimaris. Its description in RNAcentral is "Maliponia aquimaris tRNA". It matches the Rfam family "tRNA". From Rfam's summary of the family: Transfer RNA (tRNA) molecules are approximately 80 nucleotides in length. The record is from Rfam by way of RNAcentral. Lineage: Bacteria; Pseudomonadati; Pseudomonadota; Alphaproteobacteria; Rhodobacterales; Roseobacteraceae.